RNAcentral lists this ribosomal RNA (491 nucleotides) under uncultured bacterium. RNAcentral's name for it is "partial 16S ribosomal RNA". It matches the Rfam family "Bacterial small subunit ribosomal RNA", at positions 29 to 507 of the family's 1533-position model. The record is from RNAcentral.
GUGAACGCUGGCGGUAGGCCUAACACCUGCAAGUCGAACGGCAGCACAGUAAGAGCUUGCUCUUACGGGUGGCGAGUGGCGGACGGGUGAGGAAUACAUCGGAAUCUACUUUUUCGUGGGGGAUAACGUAGGGAAACUUACGCUAAUACCGCAUACGACCUACGGGUGAAAGCAGGGGAUCUUCGGACCUUGCGCGAUUGAAUGAGCCGAUGUCGGAUUAGCUAGUUGGCGGGGUAAAGGCCCACCAAGGCGACGAUCCGUAGCUGGUCUGAGAGGAUGAUCAGCCACACUGCAACUGAGACACGGUCCAGACUCCUACGGGAGGCAGCAGUGGGGAAUAUUGGACAAUGGGCGCAAGCCUGAUCCAGCCAUACCGCGUGGGUGAAGAAGGCCUUCGGGUUGUAAAGCCCUUUUGUUGGGAAAGAAAAGCAGCAGGUUAAUACCCCGCUGUUCUGACGGUACCCAAAGAAUAAGCACCGGCUAACUUCGUG